GCGUCGGUAGUGCACUUGGUUAAGCACUCGUCCCUGAAAGGGUGGGAAUGUGGGCUCGAAUCCCGCCUGACGUCA
This is a non-coding RNA of Parelaphostrongylus tenuis, 75 nucleotides long. Lineage: Eukaryota; Metazoa; Nematoda; Chromadorea; Rhabditida; Metastrongylidae. The record is from the annotation of a GenBank genome assembly.